GAGUUUGAUCGUGGCUCAGAAUGAACGCUGGCGGCGUGCUUAACACAUGCAAGUCGAGCGAGGCGGAGGGGGCAACUCCUCUAGCCGAGCGGCGGACGGGUGAGUAACACGUGGGUAACCUGCCCGGAAGUGGGGAAUACCUCGGGGAAACUCGAGCUAAUGCCGCAUAAAAUCUCCGGGACGAAAGUCCUGGCGAUCAAAGCGGGGUCGCAAGAUCUCGCGCUACCGGAUGGGCCCGCGCCCGAUUAGCUAGUUGGUGAGGUAAUGGCUCACCAAGGCAACGAUCGGUAGCCGGCCUGAGAGGGUGAUCGGCCACACCGGAACUGAGACACGGUCCGGACUCCUACGGGAGGCAGCAGUGGGGGAAUCUUGCGCAAUGGGCGAAAGCCUGACGCAGCAACGCCGCGUGGAGGAUGAAGGCCCUUGGGUUGUAAACUCCUGUCGGCUGGGAAGAACUCGUACGAUGCUCAUACCAUCGUGCGUUGACUGUACCAGCAAAGGAAGCCCGGCUAACUCUGUGCCAGCCGCCGG
Molecule: ribosomal RNA, 531 nt
Filed under: uncultured bacterium
Lineage: Bacteria
Description: bacterial SSU rRNA
Rfam family: Bacterial small subunit ribosomal RNA
Source: RNAcentral